GGCGCACGGGUGAGUAACACGUGGACAACUGCCUUGGAGUCUGGGAUAACCCGUCGAAAGACGAGCUAAUACCGGAUAAGACCACGAGAAGUUCGCUUCAUGAGGUAAAAGAUGGCCUCUGCUCCUGCAAGCUAUCACUUCGAGAGGGGUCCGCGUCCUAUCAGCUAGUUGGCGGGGUAACGGCCUACCAAGGCGACGAUCCGUAGCUGGUCUGAGAGGACGACCAGCCACACUGGGACUGAGACACGGCCAGACUCCAUACGGGAGGCAGCAGUGGGGAAUAUUGGACAAUGGGGGAAACCCUGAUCCAGCGACGCCGCGUGUGUGAAGAAGGCCUGCGGGUUGUAAAGCACUUUUAGUGGGGAUGAAAAGCUCAGGGCUAACACCUCUGGGUCUUGACCUAACCCACAGAAAAAGCACCGGCUAACUCUGUGCCAGCCGCCGCGG
This 447-nucleotide ribosomal RNA is filed under the name uncultured bacterium. RNAcentral describes it as "bacterial SSU rRNA". It matches the Rfam family "Bacterial small subunit ribosomal RNA", at positions 97 to 520 of the family's 1533-position model. The record is from RNAcentral.